CAACGAUUUCUCAAACAUCCAUGAAAGAUUCAAAGCAACUCACCAGAUCUCCUCAGAGGAGCCAUCAGAGAACAACUGCCUCUGGUGACAAACAGCAAAAAGGAAGGUUGGAGGAAUAAAAAGCCUUUUUUGCCUUUGUACUCUUUGUGUGGGAUGAAAAAUAUCCUCUGUACAUGCAGAUAAAUAACGUUGAGAGGACAAGUGUUUAAAUGGGAAAACAAAAGAUUCAAAAAAAGAACAAGCAGAAACCGAGAAAGAACAGCCUCCACAUUCACCCAGGCUGAAUGAGAUGAAAGAACAAGACAAAGACAAGCUGCCAAGCUCUUAAGAAAUAAUGUUUGGCAGAGGGCCAGCACAUAUCUGGACCUCUGCAUCCACUGAGGUUUUUGCAGAAGGGCAGCUGUACUAAACAAAGAUUUCACAGAAUUUAAGAUGAUUCUUAAGUUUUGAGAUAUCAUGAAGAGACGUUCAGUGACACUUAGUAGCACCUGUGUUGGUUCUCAGUUCAAGAGUGAUAGAAAUCAGAAGAGCAAAAACAGCAUCAACUGCACCUGCAACAAACAGUUAUAUCUACAGCAAACUGCAAAUGGAGACACCUAACUUGGCUCAAAACAAACCAGACAUUACCAUUCUGGAAUGAGACUGGACAAUAGAGAAGGAGCUUGUAAGGAUUUGUUGUUUUUCUGUGUGUAAGUUCCUAGUUCCUAAUUAAGUUUCUGUGUUGAGGCGUUUUUUUUGCCCUUAAUUGUCUCUUGCUGUCCUGAUUACUCCUCUGUGUAUUUAAUCCCACCUGUGUCUGUGUUUCCCCAUCGGAUCCUUGUCUUGUGUCAUUUGUCGUCGCAGUCUUAUGUUGUGUCAUUGCUGUUCAGUUGUAUGAGUUUCCCAGUUUCUAUCAGUGUCAGCGCUACUUCUACUUCACCUGUACUGUCUGGACUUCUGUUCUCUUCGUUACCAUUAUUA
Molecule: long non-coding RNA, 960 nt
Organism: Xiphophorus couchianus (Monterrey platyfish)
Lineage: Eukaryota; Metazoa; Chordata; Actinopteri; Cyprinodontiformes; Poeciliidae
Exons: 4
Source: RefSeq, a predicted model, not a curated record